GAAGUUGGUCGGAUGGUCGCUGGAAGGUUUACCUUUCAGAGGAAAGUCCGGGCUCCACAGAGCAAAGUGCUAGCUAACAGCUAGGUAUGGUGACAUAACGGAAAGUGCUGCAGAGAUUUAAACCGCCUAUUUCGAUAGGUAAGGGUGAGAAGGUGCGGUAAGAGCGCACCGCGCGUUUGGUGACAACCGUGGCAAGGUAAACCCCACCCCACUUGGAGCAAGCUCAAAUAGGCUACCAUUGGUGCGGCUCGCACAAGGUAGCGGGUAGAGUGCUAAAGCGUUUUGGCAACAAUCGUAGAUGAAUGACCGUCAACUACAGAACCCGGCUUAUAGACCGACUUCACUU
RNAcentral lists this RNase P RNA (346 nucleotides) under Candidatus Thioglobus sp. Its description in RNAcentral is "RNase P RNA component class A". It matches the Rfam family "Bacterial RNase P class A". From Rfam's summary of the family: Ribonuclease P (RNase P) is a ubiquitous endoribonuclease, found in archaea, bacteria and eukarya as well as chloroplasts and mitochondria. Its best characterised activity is the generation of mature 5'-ends of tRNAs by cleaving the 5'-leader elements of precursor-tRNAs. Cellular RNase Ps are ribonucleoproteins. Lineage: Bacteria; Pseudomonadati; Pseudomonadota; Gammaproteobacteria; Pseudothioglobaceae (SeqCode). The record is from RNAcentral.